This 424-nucleotide ribosomal RNA is filed under the name Fusobacteriota bacterium. Its description in RNAcentral is "Fusobacteria bacterium partial 16S ribosomal RNA". It matches the Rfam family "Bacterial small subunit ribosomal RNA", at positions 355 to 776 of the family's 1533-position model. The record is from RNAcentral. Lineage: Bacteria; Fusobacteriati; Fusobacteriota.
UGAGGAAUAUUGGUCAAUGGGCGAGAGCCUGAACCAGCCAAGUAGCGUGCAGGAUGACGGCCCUAUGGGUUGUAAACUGCUUUUAUGUGGGGAUAAAGUGCGUGACGUGUCAUGCAUUGCAGGUACCACAUGAAUAAGGACCGGCUAAUUCCGUGCCAGCAGCCGCGGUAAUACGGAAGGUCCGGGCGUUAUCCGGAUUUAUUGAGUUUAAAGGGAGCGUAGGCUGUCUAUUAAGCGUGUUGUGAAAUUUACCGGCUCAACCGGUGGCUUGCAGCGCGAACUGGUCGACUUGAGUAUGCAGGAAGUAGGCGGAAUUCAUGGUGUAGCGGUGAAAUGCUUAGAUAUCAUGACGAACUCCGAUUGCGCAGGCAGCUUACUGUAGCACAACUGACGAUGAUGCUCGAAAGUGCGGGUAUCAAACAGG